RNAcentral lists this ribosomal RNA (1916 nucleotides) under Salmonella enterica. Its description in RNAcentral is "partial 23S ribosomal RNA". It matches the Rfam family "Bacterial large subunit ribosomal RNA", at positions 711 to 2523 of the family's 2925-position model. Lineage: Bacteria; Pseudomonadati; Pseudomonadota; Gammaproteobacteria; Enterobacterales; Enterobacteriaceae. The record is from RNAcentral.
AGACCCGAAACCCGGUGAUCUAGCCAUGGGCAGGUUGAAGGUUGGGUAACACUAACUGGAGGACCGAACCGACUAAUGUUGAAAAAUUAGCGGAUGACCUGUGGCUGGGGGUGAAAGGCCAAUCAAACCGGGAGAUAGCUGGUUCUCCCCGAAAGCUAUUUAGGUAGCGCCUCGUGAAUUCAUCUCCGGGGGUAGAGCACUGUUUCGGCUAGGGGGCCAUCCCGGCUUACCAACCCGAUGCAAACUGCGAAUACCGGAGAAUGUUAUCACGGGAGACACACGGCGGGUGCUAACGUCCGUCGUGAAGAGGGAAACAACCCAGACCGCCAGCUAAGGUCCCAAAGUCAUGGUUAAGUGGGAAACGAUGUGGGAAGGCCCAGACAGCCAGGAUGUUGGCUUAGAAGCAGCCAUCAUUUAAAGAAAGCGUAAUAGCUCACUGGUCGAGUCGGCCUGCGCGGAAGAUGUAACGGGGCUAAACCAUGCACCGAAGCUGCGGCAGCGAACGUAUCACCCAAGACAACUUUACGGAGUUGACGAUUGACGGAGCGAAGCGACGUCAAAGCGUUCAUUAAAGUCGAGUUGGCUUAGGGAUACGUUCGUUGGGUAGGGGAGCGUUCUGUAAGCCUGUGAAGGUGUGUCGUGAGGCAUGCUGGAGGUAUCAGAAGUGCGAAUGCUGACAUAAGUAACGAUAAAGCGGGUGAAAAGCCCGCUCGCCGGAAGACCAAGGGUUCCUGUCCAACGUUAAUCGGGGCAGGGUGAGUCGACCCCUAAGGCGAGGCCGAAAGGCGUAGUCGAUGGGAAACGGGUUAAUAUUCCCGUACUUGGUGUUACUGCGAAGGGGGGACGGAGAAGGCUAUGUUGGCCGGGCGACGGUUGUCCCGGUUUAAGCGUGUAGGUGUGUGUUCCAGGUAAAUCCGGUUCACUUUAACACUGAGGCGUGAUGACGAGGCACUACGGUGCUGAAGCAACAAAUGCCCUGCUUCCAGGAAAAGCCUCUAAGCAUCAGGUAACAUCAAAUCGUACCCCAAACCGACACAGGUGGUCAGGUAGAGAAUACCAAGGCGCUUGAGAGAACUCGGGUGAAGGAACUAGGCAAAAUGGUGCCGUAACUUCGGGAGAAGGCACGCUGACACGUAGGUGAAGUGAUUUACUCACGGAGCUGAAGUCAGUCGAAGAUACCAGCUGGCUGCAACUGUUUAUUAAAAACACAGCACUGUGCAAACACGAAAGUGGACGUAUACGGUGUGACGCCUGCCCGGUGCCGGAAGGUUAAUUGAUGGGGUCAGCGCAAGCGAAGCUCCUGAUCGAAGCCCCGGUAAACGGCGGCCGUAACUAUAACGGUCCUAAGGUAGCGAAAUUCCUUGUCGGGUAAGUUCCGACCUGCACGAAUGGCGUAAUGAUGGCCAGGCUGUCUCCACCCGAGACUCAGUGAAAUUGAACUCGCUGUGAAGAUGCAGUGUACCCGCGGCAAGACGGAAAGACCCCGUGAACCUUUACUAUAGCUUGACACUGAACAUUGAGCCUUGAUGUGUAGGAUAGGUGGGAGGCUUUGAAGUGUGGACGCCAGUCUGCAUGGAGCCGACCUUGAAAUACCACCCUUUAAUGUUUGAUGUUCUAACGUGGACCCGUAAUCCGGGUUGCGGACAGUGUCUGGUGGGUAGUUUGACUGGGGCGGUCUCCUCCUAAAGAGUAACGGAGGAGCACGAAGGUUGGCUAAUCCUGGUCGGACAUCAGGAGGUUAGUGCAAUGGCAUAAGCCAGCUUGACUGCGAGCGUGACGGCGCGAGCAGGUGCGAAAGCAGGUCAUAGUGAUCCGGUGGUUCUGAAUGGAAGGGCCAUCGCUCAACGGAUAAAAGGUACUCCGGGGAUAACAGGCUGAUACCGCCCAAGAGUUCAUAUCGACGGCGGUGUUUGGCA